This 465-nucleotide ribosomal RNA is filed under the name uncultured bacterium. Its description in RNAcentral is "bacterial SSU rRNA". It matches the Rfam family "Bacterial small subunit ribosomal RNA", at positions 338 to 795 of the family's 1533-position model. The record is from RNAcentral.
CCUACGGGUGGCAGCAGUGGGGAAUAUUGCACAAUGGGCGCAAGCCUGAUGCAGCCAUGCCGCGUGUAUGAAGAAGGCCUUCGGGUUGUAAAGUACUUUCAGCGGGGAGGAAGGCGAUAAGGUUAAUAACCUUGUCGAUUGACGUUACCCGCAGAAGAAGCACCGGCUAACUCCGUGCCAGCAGCCGCGGUAAUGCGGAGGGUGCAAGCGUCAAUCGGAAUUACUGGGCGUAAAGCACACGCAGGCGGUCUGUCAAGUCGGAUGUGAAAUCCCCGGGCUCAACCUGGGAACUGCAUUCGAAACUGGCAGGCUAGAGUCAUGUAGAGGGGGGUAGAAUUCCAGGUGUAGCGGUGAAAUGCGUAGAGAUCUGGAGGAAUACCGGUGGCGAAGGCGGCCCCCUGGACAAAGACUGACGCUCAGGUGCGAAAGCGUGGGGAGCAAACAGGAUUAGAUACCCGAGUAGUC